This 495-nucleotide ribosomal RNA is filed under the name uncultured bacterium. Its description in RNAcentral is "partial 16S ribosomal RNA". It matches the Rfam family "Bacterial small subunit ribosomal RNA", at positions 28 to 507 of the family's 1533-position model. The record is from RNAcentral.
GACGAACGCUGGCGGCGUGCCUAAUACAUGCAAGUAGAACGCUGAAGGAGGAGCUUGCUUCUCUGGAUGAGUUGCGAACGGGUGAGUAACGCGUAGGUAACCUGCCUGGUAGCGGGGGAUAACUAUUGGAAACGAUAGCUAAUACCGCAUAAUAGUAGAUGUUGCAUGACAUUUGCUUAAAAGUUGCAAUUGCAUCACUACCAGAUGGACCUGCGUUGUAUUAGCUAGUUGGUGAGGUAACGGCUCACCAAGGCGACGAUACAUAGCCGACCUGAGAGGGUGAUCGGCCACACUGGGACUGAGACACGGCCCAGACUCCUACGGGAGGCAGCAGUAGGGAAUCUUCGGCAAUGGACGGAAGUCUGACCGAGCAACGCCGCGUGAGUGAAGAAGGUUUUCGGAUCGUAAAGCUCUGUUGUAAGAGAAGAACGAGUGUGAGAGUGGAAAGUUCACACUGUGACGGUAUCUUACCAGAAAGGGACGGCUAACUACGUG